This 253-nucleotide ribosomal RNA is filed under the name uncultured bacterium. RNAcentral's name for it is "partial 16S ribosomal RNA". It matches the Rfam family "Bacterial small subunit ribosomal RNA", at positions 524 to 776 of the family's 1533-position model. The record is from RNAcentral.
UACGUAGGGUGCGAGCGUUAAUCGGAAUUACUGGGCGUAAAGGGUGCGCAGGCGGCUCCGCAUGUCGGGCGUGAAAUCCCCGGGCUUAACCUGGGAACUGCACUUGAAACUACGAUGCUGGAGUAUGGCAGAGGGAGGUGGAAUUCCACGUGUAGCGGUGAAAUGCGUAGAGAUGUGGAGGAACACCGAUGGCGAAGGCAGCCUCCUGGGCCAAUACUGACGCUCAUGCACGAAAGCGUGGGGAGCAAACAGG